RNAcentral lists this ribosomal RNA (784 nucleotides) under Chitinophaga costaii. Its description in RNAcentral is "bacterial SSU rRNA". It matches the Rfam family "Bacterial small subunit ribosomal RNA", at positions 56 to 835 of the family's 1533-position model. The record is from RNAcentral. Lineage: Bacteria; Pseudomonadati; Bacteroidota; Chitinophagia; Chitinophagales; Chitinophagaceae.
UGCAAGUCGAGGGGCAGCACAGGUAGCAAUACUGGGUGGCGACCGGCAAACGGGUGCGGAACACGUACGCAACCUACCUUUUAGUGGGGAAUAGCCCGGAGAAAUCCGGAUUAAUACCCCGUAAGAUAUUGGUGAGGCAUCUCACAGAUAUAAAAGCUCCGGCACUUAAAGAUGGGCGUGCGGCUGAUUAGGUAGUUGGUGAGGUAACGGCUCACCAAGCCGACGAUCAGUAACUGGCGUGAGAGCGCGACCAGUCACACGGGCACUGAGACACGGGCCCGACUCCUACGGGAGGCAGCAGUAAGGAAUAUUGGUCAAUGGACGCAAGUCUGAACCAGCCAUGCCGCGUGGAGGAUGAAGGUCCUCUGGAUUGUAAACUUCUUUUAUUUGGGAAGAAAUGUGGUUUAUCUAAAUCAUUUGACGGUACCAGAUGAAUAAGCACCGGCUAACUCCGUGCCAGCAGCCGCGGUAAUACGGAGGGUGCAAGCGUUAUCCGGAUUCACUGGGUUUAAAGGGUGCGUAGGCGGAUCUGUAAGUCAGUGGUGAAAUCUCCAGGCUUAACCUGGAAACUGCCGUUGAUACUAUAGGUCUUGAAUUUUGUGGAGGUUAGCGGAAUAUGUCAUGUAGCGGUGAAAUGCAUAGAUAUGACAUAGAACACCAAUUGCGAAGGCAGCUGGCUACACAACUAUUGACGCUGAGGCACGAAAGCGUGGGGAUCAAACAGGAUUAGAUACCCUGGUAGUCCACGCCCUAAACGAUGGAUACUCGACAUUUGCGAUAUACA